This 1220-nucleotide long non-coding RNA is filed under the name Triticum aestivum (bread wheat). RNAcentral describes it as "long non-coding RNA (TAES_LNC013244)". The record is from RNAcentral. Lineage: Eukaryota; Viridiplantae; Streptophyta; Magnoliopsida; Poales; Poaceae.
CUCCCCUCCGUGCCGCUGCCUCGGAUUCCCCCCUCCCUCUCGGCCGCAAGCGCCGGCGCCGACAUGGUAUGGAAGCGGCUGCCACGUAUUCUCACCCCACGUUCCCGAUCUGGAGAGGGAGGGAAAUACACGGCCACAUGUGCGUGCGCCGUCGGGAUGUUUCUUGAGGGUAGCAUCAACCCUUGUAGGCACUGCUAGCAGCAGCAGCAGGCCUCAGUGCCGACGAAGGGAUGGCACAUGGCGCCGUCGUCGUCGAUCUAGGUAGAAGGGCAAGCCAAGAUGAACCUCUCGCAUUAUCUAGGAAGUUGUCAUGGAAGACGCCGAAGAAAAGUCCAUGUAAGCUCCUCUGGUUUUCUUCCAUAAUUUUUCUUCCCUGCACAACAGUUAAUUUCCGUCUCUUCUGGACCACGUCUAAUUUUGGGAAAAAGAUGCAGGAAUUUUGAUAGAGAUGGAGAACUGGACGUGCUUUGUUUCCUUGCCUUGACCGCAUCUAAUUUUGGGGAAAAGAGAGAGGAAUUUGAGAUAGGUGGACAACCUGAAGAUCUUUGAACGUUCAGGAGCAGCCAUAUCCUCAGUGCUAUGCCAGCCUCCUCGCCACUACUGUCAUGUGGAUGUGACUAUUGUUUGGCUGCUGGUGAGAUGGGCAUAGUUUCCUCCGGGUUCAUGCAUCGUGAUGGUAUUCGAACAACACCUUAAUUGGCCCAAGAAAAUUUAGGACUGUCGGAUGAUAAACCAAAUUUUUUGUUUCAUGUACUAUCAUCUCACGUUCUAAUUUUGGUGUUCUGGUAGGAAGGGAUCGGCUUUGGCGGUGUCCGGUGCUGGCAUGUCAUGUGAUUAGAGCAUAGGAAGCUAACAUGAUGUUUGGAACUCGGUGGUCAUGCUCAUUGACUAGAUGCUGCGCCUCAUGUCACCCCGGGCGUCGAAUUGCUUGAUAGCAGAGCUCACGGAGUAAAAAUAUGUCUGCAAGUACUUGUUUGCCAUAUGCCUGCCCACUCCUCCGUCUCAUCAAGCUUUCUUUUAUUUCUCUAAAUUUGUUGUGUGCAUGUAUGUGAAAAAAUAACAGGAAUAGGCCAUGCUAAGGCUUUGGCAAAGAACAUUCUUUCCCUUGCUUAUGAAAAUUUUGGUCCUUUAAUAUUGAUUCCAUAAUUUGUGAUUAAUAAAUGUUGUUGGUAUUUGAUCUCUUUGUUGCUCAUGUCCUACUUGAUUUUGCAUGGGUACAG